Long non-coding RNA from Dromaius novaehollandiae (emu), 1580 nucleotides. RefSeq lists it as uncharacterized. Lineage: Eukaryota; Metazoa; Chordata; Aves; Casuariiformes; Dromaiidae. The record is from RefSeq and is a predicted model, not a curated record. The transcript has 4 exons.
CAGACCGUUUACCCUGCAACGUAUGGUGCAAAGUGCCGUAUUAAGACCUUUCCCUUAAGGAAAAGAAGAAGAAAAAAAAGGGGGAAAAAGAAAACAGGGUAAAGAGAAAAAGAUCAUGCAUAAACCUAAGCAUUUCACUGGAAGUAAAACGCGAGUUUAUCGCUUCCUUACAGAGAUGGAACCAAGGACAGCAAAUGCUGACGAGGAGAAGAGACGGACGAGCGUUUGCUUGCGGUUAAUACCGAAGGGACGGGAUGAAACAAGGAAGCCAGAAUGCAGCGGCCCCUCGAUAUCACCAGGAACUGCUACAGGAGGAGGCGUUCUGGCACGGGUAACUAGGGUAAGUAUGGCUAAUGACCGUUAGCAGUUAUUUCGGCCUCCCCGAGGCAGCGCUGAGGACUGAGUAACCCGUUCCUGCCCUGUGGCUGCUGUUGCCUGUAUCUGCCUUAGCUUUGCUUUGGCUGUUUCUCUUUUGUUUUGUUAUCGUACACGCAGCUACGGAAAGGAAUAGAUGUCAUACUUACUUUUUUAGAUUAAUUGCCACGGCUGAAGUUGAAGAGACCAAGAAACGUAAGCCGCGAAGGGGCACAUCUUGAAGAGAGGGGGCUAGACCUAGCGAUGCAGUUGUUCGUUUUGGUCGUCGCCUGUGAGGCCAGCAUGCAAGAGUAAGAGGAAGCUAGGAGCAGUCUCAAAAAGAGAUGGAACCAAGGACGGCAAAUGCUGACGAGGAGAAGAGACGGACGAGCGUUUGCUUGCGGUUAAUACCGAAGGGACGGGAUGAAACAAGGAAGCCAGAAUGCAGCGGCCCCUCGAUAUCACCAGGAACUGCUACAGGAGGAGGCGUUCUGGCACGGGUAACUAGGGUAAGUAUGGCUAAUGACCGUUAGCAGUUAUUUUGGCCUCCCCGAGGCAGCGCUGAGGACUAAGUAACCUGAGGGGCUCUGGCCUGGGUUGGGGCAGAAGUGCAGGCAGGCGGGAUCAGGCAUUUUCCUCUCAGCUCUCCGAGCUGAAUCCUAGCCCUGAAGGAAAAAGCACUGGGGGGAGGCUACUCGGACACCUGCCAUGUCGAGGGCAGGGGCAGGAGCUGACCCUUCCCCGACGGACGGACGUACGGACAGACGCUGGUGCGGCGGUGACUCUUUGGAUAUCGUAGGGCAGGAAGUGUUUUCCAUCUCCGAUGGUGUUGCAAGACAACCUUGGAAGCUCAGAAAGUGUUCCUGCUGUUUAAACUAGGCAGAUGAGGAGAUGUUGCCAAUUUAGCAAAGGAAUUUGAGGUAUCCCCGAACUGAACUGUCCUCAUUAUAAUACAAGAAAAUCACGCCCAUAGGUCAGAAAGACCUGUGCCCGGGUGAAGACCCCUCCCCUGAGCAUGCGUAGUUUUAAAAUGGUGUGUAAGCAAUAUUAGAAUUGUAUGUAAAUCACUAACCAACCGGUGUAAGAGGGAAAGUUGCAAACCUUGCAACUUGUAUAAAUGCUACUUGGAAAGCCGGGGCGGGGGGGGGAAGUUGCGCUUGAUUUGUGGGAAAACACCGAGCAGCCAGGCUUGCACAACUCUGAAAUAAAUAAGCAAAUGUCUCUCC